GUAGUAGCAAAUACUCCAGCGAGGCCCUGGAGGGCUGACGCUUGGGCGAAAGGGAAUCCGGUUCCUAUUCCGGAACCCGGCAGCGGAACCGAUACAAGUCGGGCCCCUCUUUUAGAGAUGCUCGUCGGGGUAACCCAAAAGGACCCGGAGACGCCGUCGGGAGAUCGGGGAAGAGUUUUCUUUUCUGCAUGAGCGUUCGAGUUCCCUGGAAUCCUCUAGCAGGGAGAUAGGGUUUGGAACGCGAAGAGCACCGCAGUUGCGGCGGUGUCCCGAUCUUCCCCUCGGACCUUGAAAAUCCGGGAGAGGGCCACGUGGAGGUGUCGCGCCGGUUCGUACCCAUAUCCGCAGCAGGUCUCCAAGGUGAAGAGCCUCUAGUCGAUAGAAUAAUGUAGGUAAGGGAAGUCGGCAAAUUGGAUCCGUAACUUCGGGAUAAGGAU
Molecule: ribosomal RNA, 437 nt
Filed under: Schistocerca nitens (vagrant locust)
Lineage: Eukaryota; Metazoa; Arthropoda; Insecta; Orthoptera; Acrididae
Description: eukaryotic LSU rRNA
Rfam family: Eukaryotic large subunit ribosomal RNA
Source: RNAcentral